GUUAUAUAUUAGAGGGGUUAAUCCUGGUUCUACUGUUUUUAUUUGCAGUGCAUGUAGGAACAGAGUUAAGCGGUUCUCCGGGUCUCUGUGGUUCUGCCGGACUCUCUGUAUUCAGGACGCUUCGCCAGGGACGUUCUCUGAUUCCUGAUUCCGGAACGGCGGAGGCUGAAGGUGAGGCUCUGAGAUCGGAGCGCCGUCGGAAAGAGGAAACAUACGAACAGAUGAAGAGGGGACAAUAAAGAGGGAUGGAUGGGGGAAAGCCCUCCCCACGCACCGUGGCCCUGAGCGCUCAGGCGGAACGGAGGGAUAGCACUCAUCCAUCCCGCUGCAGAACGGAGGGAUGACGCUCCUUCAUUUCCCGGUGGACGCUGGUGUA
RNAcentral lists this long non-coding RNA (376 nucleotides) under Astyanax mexicanus (Mexican tetra). RNAcentral's name for it is "lncRNA (ENSAMXG00005002673.1)". The record is from RNAcentral. Lineage: Eukaryota; Metazoa; Chordata; Actinopteri; Characiformes; Acestrorhamphidae.